AAGAUUGUACAUUCUUUUUAUAGUUCAUUACCAGAGUUUUCUCUGAUGGUGCAGAGCACUGAAUACCACAAGGAGGAGGCAUAAUGUUCUUUUCUGAAUGUGAACCUGACUCUUGGUGUUGCUUCCUUGCAACUGCUAUUUGUCAUUGAUACUUGUUCUUCUUUUCCUUUCACCACAGUGAGAGGGAGUUGACGCAGUCUGAGG
This is a small nucleolar RNA of Procavia capensis (Cape rock hyrax), 204 nucleotides long. Its record names the gene U3. It matches the Rfam family "Small nucleolar RNA U3". From Rfam's summary of the family: Small nucleolar RNAs (snoRNAs) are involved in the processing and modification of rRNA in the nucleolus. There are two main classes of snoRNAs: the box C/D class, and the box H/ACA class. The record is from Ensembl. NCBI's taxonomy places the organism in Eukaryota, Metazoa, Chordata, Mammalia, Hyracoidea, Procaviidae.